Long non-coding RNA from Lycium barbarum (goji berry), 657 nucleotides. RefSeq lists it as uncharacterized. The transcript is spliced from 3 exons. NCBI's taxonomy places the organism in Eukaryota, Viridiplantae, Streptophyta, Magnoliopsida, Solanales, Solanaceae. The record is from RefSeq and is a predicted model, not a curated record.
UCUUAUACCAUAUUCUAACUCAGCUGCAUAUGAGCUGCUAAAAUUGGAGAAUCAAUAUGUUCUCGGAAUCCAUUUUCUGCUAUGAUUCCAUUAGACUAAAAGUUUCUCAUAUUUUCUAAUUCUCAUGUGCUUGUCCUGCAAUUCAACAAACCUCUAAGGCUGACUACUUUUGUAUUUAUAUUGUUUUCAAUUUUUUUUUGGCAGAAGCAGUUGAAAUUCCAUAUUCAGAUCAUCAACCAGUUGUUGGAAUUCUCCUCCAAGGUUGUCAAUUGCCGGAGUUAAGGGAGAUUUGCUAGAUACAAGAAAGUAGUAGCAGAGAUGGCGGGUGAUAAUAGGGGUAAGGCUAUUGCUAAAGCCCCGAAAAAGUCAAAGAAGAAGAAGGGUCCAUUUAUACCACCAGAGGGCGUAGUGACAGGAACCCUUAAUUUUCCUAUGUUUUCUUGGAUAUGUAUAUGAUAUUUAAGUGUUUGAAUGUAGUUUUAAUUCGAAUUAGAAAUACUUUGAAGGUGAAUUUGAUUGUAGAAUGUAGUUAUGGUUGUUUAAGUGUUUCAAUCUAGUUGUAAUUUGAAUUAGAAGUACUUUAAAUUGAAAUUUGAGGUUGGAUUUGAUUGUAAAAAUGUUGUAGUUUAUGAGUGUAGAAGUACUUUGAUGAAUUGC